GUGGAAGGAAAAAAAGGAUUUGAAGAAGGAAAUUAAAAAAACAAAAAAAAAGAAGGAAACGCGUUUUAUGAAAAGAGCACACUGUUGAUUGUUCAAUCCUUUCUCUCUCUCUAUCUUCAUUUCUCGCUUUCUCUUUCUAAGACGUACACAAAAUUAGGGUUUGGUUAUCUGGAAAAAAGAACCCGCUUUACCCUGCGACCAGUGGAAAAGAAAGGUUUAGGGUUUUGCCUGUGAGGGUUUUGCAGACCCUUUUGGGGUUCUAAAAUGGGUUCCAUUUGUUUUUCUUCUUCAGUAAUCAAAUGGUACUCUUUUAACAAAUUGAAGCUGUUAUCUGUCGUUUGGGUCCUGGCUUUGUCGGUAAAUGGAGUAGUUUUGGGUGAUUCGGACGAAUCGGCGCUGUUAGAGUUCAAGAACUCGGUGUCUGACCCGUCAGGGCUGCUCUCUAGCUGGAAUCUGAUCAACACCAACCACUGCUUUUGGCCUGGUGUGUCCUGCGACAACGACUCGCGUGUCGUGUCCCUCAACAUCACAGGACACCGCAACAGCAACAAAGGUAAGAAUAGUGAAAAUGGAAGUCCUUUCUUUUGCCCAGGUUCCGUUCAGUAUCCACUUUAUGGGUUUGGAAUUAGGCGAGACUGUCAGGAUGGUAAUGGUAUUCUUUUUGGCAAAUUGAUACCUGCGAUUGCCAAGUUAACUGAACUUAGGGUUUUAUCAUUGCCCUUUAAUGGGUUUCGUGGGGAGAUGCCUGGUGAAAUAUGGCGCAUGCAGAAGUUAGAGGUUCUUGAUCUGGAGGGUAAUAUGAUAACUGGGUCAUUGCCAAUUUCCUUUGACGGGUUAAGAAACUUGCGGGUUUUAAACUUAGGAUUCAACAACAUAGGAGGAGAAAUACCGAGCUCACUUUCCUAUUGUACAAACUUGGCGAUCCUAAAUUUAGCUGGUAACAGCAUUAAUGGCACACUUCCUGCGUUUGUUGGUGGGCUUAAGGCCCUUUAUUUGUCCUUGAAUCAGCUCGGUGGGGCAGUGCCUAGAGAAAUUGGAGACAAUUGUGAUACACUUGAACACCUGGAUUUGUCAGGAAAUUUCUUUGUUGGAGGGAUUCCUGGUAGUCUAGGGAAUUGUGGUAAUUUGAGGACAUUGUUAUUGUAUUCAAAUUUGUUUGAAGAAGUGAUUCCGUCUGAACUGGGUAUGCUCGGAAAGCUUGAGGUGUUGGAUGUGUCAAGAAAUAGUCUUAGUGGGUCAGUACCUCGUGAGCUUGGGAAUUGCUCUGGAUUGUCUGUGCUUGUGCUUUCAAAUUUUUUUGAUCCUUAUCAGAAUGUUAACAGUUCAAGAGGGGACUAUUUGUUGGAUCAAUCGAGUUCUGCAAAUGAAGAUUUUAAUUUUUUUCAGGGGAAAAUUCCUGCAGAAAUUGCGACUCUUCCAAACCUGAGGAUGUUGUGGGCGCCAAGUGCAACUCUUGAGGACAGCUUGCUAAGUGACUGGGGUGCUUGUGAGAAAUUGGAGAUGAUCAAUUUGGCCUUUAACUUUUUCACUGGGGAAAUUCCCCAUGAGCUCAGUCACUGCAACAAGUUGUGGUAUCUGGACUUGAGUAAUAAUAGGCUCAAGGGAGAGCUUGUUAAGGAGAUUCCAGUUCCUUGUAUGACCCUGUUCGAUGUUAGUGGAAAUUCCCUGUCUGGUCAAAUCCCCAGUUUCUACAGUGGCAGUUGCGAAUCAGUUCCUUCCAUUUAUGGAUAUCCCUCCGGCAUCUAUGAUCCAUCAUCUGCUUAUCUGUCUUUUUUCGCAAAUAAAGCGAAGUCUGGAAGUCCUAUACAGUCACUUGAGGGAGAUGGUGAAAUAUCAAUUCUUCAUAACUUUGGCGGCAACAAUUUUACUGGUACCCUUCAAUCUAUGCCAAUUGCACCUGUCAGAUUGGGAAAGCAAACUACUUAUGCAUUUUUAGCUGGAGGAAACAAGCUGUCUGGGCCAUUCCCAGGGAUUUUGUUUGAUAAGUGCAAUGAAUUGGACAAAUUAAUUCUUAAUGUUAGCAACAAUAGAAUGUCUGGUCAGAUUCCGGCUGAUAUUGGUACCAUGUGCAGAUCUCUCAAACUUCUGGAUGCGUCUAACAAUCAGAUUACUGGUUUCAUUCCCCCUGGCAUUGGUAAAAUGGUGUCUCUUGUUUCUCUCAACUUGAGUUGUAACUUUUUGCAAGGUCCGAUUCCUACCAGUCUCAGCCAAAUAAAGGGCCUGAAGUAUCUUUCCUUGGCUGGUAAUAAAAUCAAUGGUUCUAUUCCUUCUAGCUUGGGCAAGUUGCAGUCUUUGGAGGUUCUGGAUCUUUCUUCAAACAUGCUCUCCGGAGAGAUUCCAAACAAUCUUGUGAACUUGAGAAACCUUACUGCCCUUCUGCUCAAUGACAAUAAACUUUCUGGGCAGAUUCCUUCUGGUUUGGCAAAUGUGACCAUGCUUUCAGCAUUCAAUGUGUCCUUCAACAACUUAUCUGGGUCCCUGCCAUUGAGUAACAAUCUGAUGAAAUGUAGUAGUGUUCUUGGAAAUCCUUAUCUACGCCCUUGCCAUGUUUUCUCCCUAACAGUGCCAACUCCAGAUUCAGGAAGUUCUGCUGUGGCACAAGGCUACACUGUUUCACCACCAAGUCAGAGUCAAAAGAGUGGGAACAGUGGUUUCAAUUCAAUUGAGAUAGCAUCAAUAGCAUCUGCAUCAGCCAUUGUUUCAGUUCUUCUAGCUUUGAUUGUCUUGUUCUUCUACACCAGAAAGUGGAGCCCAAAGUCCAAAAUUAUGGGAUCCACCAGAAAGGAAGUAACAAUCUUUACAGACAUUGGGGUUCCCUUGACAUUUGAGAAUGUUGUGAGGGCCACUGGGAACUUCAAUGCAAGCAACUGCAUUGGCAAUGGAGGUUUUGGGGCUACUUACAAGGCAGAGAUAUCUCCUGGAGUUCUGGUGGCAAUCAAAAGGCUUGCUGUUGGACGAUUCCAAGGUGUUCAGCAGUUUCAUGCUGAAAUUAAAACCCUUGGGAGGCUCCACCAUCCAAAUCUUGUCACAUUGAUUGGUUAUCAUGCCAGUGAAACAGAAAUGUUCCUAGUAUAUAAUUAUUUACCUGGUGGUAAUCUGGAAAAAUUUAUCCAGGAGAGGUCCACCAGGGCUGUGGAUUGGAGGAUACUUCACAAGAUUGCUUUGGAUAUUGCUCGUGCUCUUGCUUACCUGCAUGAUCAGUGUGUACCACGUGUACUUCAUCGCGAUGUCAAGCCCAGCAAUAUUCUUCUAGAUGAUGAUUUCAAUGCCUAUUUAUCUGACUUCGGUUUGGCUAGGCUUUUGGGAACUUCUGAAACCCAUGCUACUACAGGCGUGGCUGGAACUUUUGGUUAUGUUGCCCCAGAAUAUGCAAUGACUUGCCGUGUUUCGGAUAAGGCUGAUGUUUACAGUUAUGGGGUUAUGUUGUAGCUGUUCACAAUAAGGAAGCCUACCGAUGAAAUUUUUGAUGAGAUGAUCCUGACAGACA
Molecule: unclassified non-coding RNA, 3487 nt
Filed under: Hevea brasiliensis (rubber tree)
Lineage: Eukaryota; Viridiplantae; Streptophyta; Magnoliopsida; Malpighiales; Euphorbiaceae
Source: RNAcentral